RNAcentral lists this transfer RNA (76 nucleotides) under Podarcis lilfordi (Lilford's wall lizard). Its description in RNAcentral is "tRNA.Asn". The stretch from base 10 to 68 matches the Rfam family "tRNA", at positions 8 to 63 of the family's 71-position model. Rfam says of the family: Transfer RNA (tRNA) molecules are approximately 80 nucleotides in length. The record is from RNAcentral. Lineage: Eukaryota; Metazoa; Chordata; Lepidosauria; Squamata; Lacertidae.
GCAAACUCUUGGUGCAAUGGGUCAGUGCAUCUGGCUGUUAACCAGAAGGUUGGUAGUUCAAAUCCACCCAGGGACA